RNAcentral lists this ribosomal RNA (253 nucleotides) under uncultured bacterium. RNAcentral's name for it is "partial 16S ribosomal RNA". It matches the Rfam family "Bacterial small subunit ribosomal RNA", at positions 524 to 776 of the family's 1533-position model. The record is from RNAcentral.
UACGAAGGGUGCUAGCGUUGCUCGGAAUCACUGGGCGUAAAGCGCACGUAGGCGGCUUUCUAAGUCAGGGGUGAAAUCCUGGAGCUCAACUCCAGAACUGCCUUUGAUACUGGCGAUCUCGAGUCCGGGAGAGGUGAGUGGAACUGCGAGUGUAGAGGUGAAAUUCGUAGAUAUUCGCAAGAACACCAGUGGCGAAGGCGGCUCACUGGCCCGGUACUGACGCUGAGGGGCGAAAGCGUGGGGAGCAAACAGG